AAUGGAAUGCCGCCGUCGGUAGGGGUCUGCCGGGCAUAAAGGGGCCUUCGGAACCCCACCAGAGUCACAGCCAGGAAGGGCAGCGGGGCGCACCAGGCCGAAGGCUCACGCCACAGGGAGGGCAGCUAGGACAUGGGGGGAAGCGCGUUAAACCAGGGAGUCCUGGAAGGGGACGACGCCCCCGGCCAGUCCCUGUACGAGCGGUUAAGUCAGAGGAUGCUGGACAUCUCGGGGGACCGGGGCGUGCUGAAGGACGUCAUCCGAGAAGGAGCUGGAGACCUAGUGGCGCCUGAUGCUUCGGUGCUAGAUAUUACAUUGUGGGGCAUGGAGCUGGGCCUUCUGAGCAUGCAGAGAGGAGAGCUGGCCAGAUGCUUCGUCUUGGGUAAACUCCUCGACUCCCAAGGCCCCAGCCUCCAUCUUUACCUCAGAGCCUCCUGAACCUCCUCCUCCAGCCUCACCUUCCUCCAGCCUCACCACUCCUCCCUGGACCUGCAGCUCCGCACCCCCGGGGGCCUCAGAACUACCCCUUCCAGGGCCUCAGAACUACCCCUACGGUUUCUCCUGCGUAACCUUCUGCCUACCUUCCUGAGAGUGGUUGGUGACAGCAGCCGGGGCUAGAAACCUCGAGGCGACUGUGCUUGAGUCCUCUCUUGCUCUUUACAUCCCAAAUCCCAUCAAUUGUCACGCCUUGUGCCUUCCGCCUCUCAAAUAUUCAGAAAGCAGAUGUAUGCUGGGCACGGUGGUGACUCAAGCCUAUAAUCCCAGCACUUCGGAAGGCGGAGGCAGGAGGAUCGCUUGAGGCCAGGAAUUUUAGACCAGCCGGGGCAACAUAGUGAAACCCCAUCUCUACAAAAUAAAAAUAAAAAUUAGCUGGG
RNA transcript from Homo sapiens (human), 875 nucleotides. It is a transcript of the gene named FKBP6 pseudogene 1, with no coding region annotated. The transcript has 4 exons. The record is from RefSeq and is marked validated. NCBI's taxonomy places the organism in Eukaryota, Metazoa, Chordata, Mammalia, Primates, Hominidae.